AGUUAACUGACGAGUCCCAAAUAGGACGAAACGCGCGUCCUGGAU
Molecule: non-coding RNA, 45 nt
Filed under: Trichobilharzia regenti
Lineage: Eukaryota; Metazoa; Platyhelminthes; Trematoda; Strigeidida; Schistosomatidae
Source: RNAcentral